GCCAGGCAUGGUAGCUCAUGCCUGUAGUCCCAGAUACUCAGGAGGCUGAGAUGGGAGGAUUGCUUGAGCCCAGGAGUUGGAGGUUGUAGUGGGCCAAGACUGCGCCCUUGCACUCCAGCCUGGGCAACAGAGCAAGACCCUGUCUCAA
This 148-nucleotide non-coding RNA is filed under the name Nomascus leucogenys (northern white-cheeked gibbon). Lineage: Eukaryota; Metazoa; Chordata; Mammalia; Primates; Hylobatidae. The record is from Rfam by way of RNAcentral.